RNAcentral lists this ribosomal RNA (218 nucleotides) under Strumigenys villiersi. Its description in RNAcentral is "partial large subunit ribosomal RNA". Lineage: Eukaryota; Metazoa; Arthropoda; Insecta; Hymenoptera; Formicidae. The record is from RNAcentral.
GAAUUUUAUAAAAUUAUUUAUAAAAUUUUAAAGUUAAAAUAUAAAUAAUUAUUAUUUAAUUGGGAGGAUUUUUAAAUUUAGAAAACUUUAAAUAAAAAUUUAAAUAUAAAUUAAUAAGUAAAUUUUUUUAGAAUGAUUAAAAAAUUAAAAAAUAAUUAAUUACCUUAGGGAUAACAGCGUAAUAUUUUUAAUAAGAUCUUAUUAAUAAAAAUGAUUGC